CCUACGGGGGGCUGCAGUGGGGAAUAUUGCACAAUGGGCGCAAGCCUGAUGCAGCCAUGCCGCGUGUGUGAAGAAGGCCUUCGGGUUGUAAAGCACUUUCAGCGGGGAGGAAGGCGUUAAGGUUAAUAACCUUGGCGAUUGACGUUACCCGCAGAAGAAGCACCGGCUAACUCCGUGCCAGCAGCCGCGGUAAUACGGAGGGUGCAAGCGUUAAUCGGAAUUACUGGGCGUAAAGCGCACGCAGGCGGUCUGUCAAGUCGGAUGUGAAAUCCCCGGGCUCAACCUGGGAACUGCAUUCGAAACUGGCAGGCUAGAGUCUUGUAGAGGGGGGUAGAAUUCCCGGUGUAGCGGUGAAAUGCGUAGAGAUCUGGAGGAAUACCAGUGGCGAAGGCGACCCCCUGGACAAAGACUGACGCUCAGGGGCGAAAGCGUGGGGAGCAAACAGGAUUAGAUACCCGAGUAGUC
RNAcentral lists this ribosomal RNA (465 nucleotides) under uncultured Klebsiella sp. Its description in RNAcentral is "bacterial SSU rRNA". It matches the Rfam family "Bacterial small subunit ribosomal RNA", at positions 338 to 795 of the family's 1533-position model. The record is from RNAcentral. Lineage: Bacteria; Pseudomonadati; Pseudomonadota; Gammaproteobacteria; Enterobacterales; Enterobacteriaceae.